This 469-nucleotide ribosomal RNA is filed under the name uncultured bacterium. Its description in RNAcentral is "partial 16S ribosomal RNA". It matches the Rfam family "Bacterial small subunit ribosomal RNA", at positions 28 to 507 of the family's 1533-position model. The record is from RNAcentral.
GAUGAACGCUGGCGGCGUGCUUAACACAUGCAAGUCGAACGGUGAAGCUCCAGCUUUCUGGAGUGGAUCAUUGGCGAACGGGUGAGUAACACGUGAGCAACCUGCCCCUGACUCUGUGAUAACAGCCGGAAACGGCUGCUAAUACCGGAUAUGCACCAUUAACGCAUGUUCUUUGGUAGGAAAAAUUGUUCGGUUGGGGAUGGGCUCGCGGCCUAUCAGCUUGUUGGUGAGGUAGUGGCGCACCAAGUCGUCGACGGAUAGCCGGCCUGAGAGGGUGAACGGCCACCCUGGGACUGCGAGAGGGACCAGAAUCCUACGGGAGGCAGCAGUCGGAAAUAUUGCAGAAUGGCGCCAAGCGUGUUGCAGACACGCCGCGUGCGGGAUGACGGCCUACGGGUGGUAAACCUCUUUUAGAAGGGAAGAAGCGAGCGUGACGGUACCUGCAGAAAAAGCGCCGGCUAACUACGUG